RNAcentral lists this ribosomal RNA (253 nucleotides) under uncultured bacterium. RNAcentral's name for it is "partial 16S ribosomal RNA". It matches the Rfam family "Bacterial small subunit ribosomal RNA", at positions 524 to 776 of the family's 1533-position model. The record is from RNAcentral.
CACGUAGGGCGCAAGCGUUGUCCGGAAUUAUUGGGCGUAAAGAGCUCGUAGGCGGUCUGUUGCGUCCGCUGUGAAAACUCGGGGCUUAACCCCGAGCCUGCAGUGGAUACGGGCAGACUAGAGGUAGGUAGGGGAGAAUGGAAUUCCCGGUGUAGCGGUGAAAUGCGUAGAUAUCGUAAGGAAGACCAGUGGCGAAGGCGGGUCUCUGGACAGUUCCUGACGCUGAGGCACGAAGGCCAGGGGAGCAAACGGG